UACAUAGCCGACCUGAGAGGGUGAUCGGCCACACUGGGGCUGAGACACGGCCCAGACUCCUACGGGAGGCAGCAGUAGGGAAUCUUCGGCAAUGGACGGAAGUCUGACCGAGCAACGCCGCGUGAGUGAAGAAGGUUUUCGGAUCGUAAAGCUCUGUUGUAAGAGAAGAACGAGUGUGAGAGUGGAAAGUUCACACUGUGACGGUAACUUACCAGAAAGGGACGGCUAACUACGUGCCAGCAGCCGCGGUAAUACGUAGGUCCCGAGCGUUAUCCGGAUUUAUUGGGCGUAAAGCGAGCGCAGGCGGUUAGAUAAGUCUGAAGUUAAAGGCUGUGGCUUAACCAUAGUACGCUUUGGAAACUGUUUAACUUGAGUGCAGAAGGGGAGAGUGGAAUUCCAUGUGUAGCGGUGAAAUGCGUAGAUAUAUGGAGGAACACCGGUGGCGAAAGCGGCUCUC
RNAcentral lists this ribosomal RNA (457 nucleotides) under uncultured Bacilli bacterium. RNAcentral's name for it is "bacterial SSU rRNA". It matches the Rfam family "Bacterial small subunit ribosomal RNA", at positions 280 to 729 of the family's 1533-position model. The record is from RNAcentral. Lineage: Bacteria; Bacillati; Bacillota; Bacilli.